This 64-nucleotide ribosomal RNA is filed under the name Gammaproteobacteria bacterium. RNAcentral's name for it is "partial 16S ribosomal RNA". It matches the Rfam family "Bacterial small subunit ribosomal RNA", at positions 1 to 60 of the family's 1533-position model. Lineage: Bacteria; Pseudomonadati; Pseudomonadota; Gammaproteobacteria. The record is from RNAcentral.
UUUUUUUACGGAGAGUUUGAUCCUGGCUCAGGACGAACGCUGGCGGCGUGCCUAAUACAUGCAA